CGGAGGGUGCAAGCGUUAUCCGGAUUCACUGGGUUUAAAGGGUGCGUAGGUGGGCUGGUAAGUCCGUAGUGAAAUCCCCAAGCUUAACUUGGGAACUGCCGUGGAUACUAUUAGUCUUGAAUACUGUGGAGGUAAGCGGAAUAUGUCAUGUAGCGGUGAAAUGCUUAGAUAUGACAUAGAACACCGAUAGCGAAGGCAGCUUGCUACACAGUCAUUGACACUGAGGCACGAAAGCGUGGGGAGCAAACAGGAUUAGAUACCCUGGUAGUCCACGCCCUAAACGAUGAUUACUCGACAUACGCGAUACACUGUGUGUGUCUGAGCGAAAGCAUUAAGUAAUCCACCUGGGAAGUACGACCGCAAGGUUG
This 368-nucleotide ribosomal RNA is filed under the name uncultured organism. RNAcentral describes it as "bacterial SSU rRNA". It matches the Rfam family "Bacterial small subunit ribosomal RNA", at positions 526 to 896 of the family's 1533-position model. The record is from RNAcentral.